GGUCAUCUGUGGAUUAGCAACAUCACUGGAACAGUCAGCUCCAAAGCCACGCCCACCUACUGCAAGCCAUGCCAGCAAAAUGCAUGCCUGUGCCUCCAUUCCCACUUAACUCCAUUUCAAAUUCUGUUCUUACAUGAAGGCACCUGAUUGGUGGAACCUGAAGUAUACCAGACCGCAAGCUGCAAGGGAGUCUGAGGACCACCCUUUUUAGCCUCUCUGUAUUUGCAGUACAAGAAGGCAUCCUAGAAGGAGGUUGAGGUAAGUAUUGAAAGACAAACUACCGUAUCUGCCACAGCACGUGAACUUUUUGUUCAGGCAAGAUGAGAAUGUUAAUCUACUCGAGUGGAAGUGUUUUAUAGUUACUCUGAAAAAAAAAUGGGGCCAGAACACUCCACUCCACCAGCGUCCAUUAUCAUGAAGAACAUAGAUUCUGGCACAUGGUAUUUUGUCACUCAUUGUUUUAAUCAGUCAUGUGAACAUUAACAAUACUCUCCUGCAAUUUCGUUUUCCCCGUGGAAAGUGUCUCCCUGAGAAGCUGCGAGCUCUUCAAGGGUAGACUGUGUAUUCCCAAAAUGCUUGAACAUAGUUAUAAGUAUACAGUGGAGGUUGGGUAAGAAUUAUUAAGCAUUUUUAAAAAGUAAGUUUAACUAAUCAUCAGAAGUAGUCAGGAAUAUUUAUACCCACUUCUCUUUAGCCAGGAUCUAAGAGUCUUUUCCUAUCUCAAGAUCAUUUCCUAAUUCCAUAAUUUAGAAAUGUUGUGGGACCUUUAAUAUACCAGUUGUUGGCAUUGAAUCUGGACUGGGAAAUAUAUUGAGGGUUAAGAGUUUAAGAAUUUUAAAAAAUUCAUCUUAAAUAUGUACCACUAUUACUCUAUUUCCACCAUGGUGGGGGUGGGGCCAGAAUUACCCUUCUAACUGAAAAAACACCCAGCAACAGAAACAGACAAAAUAUACGAAACAUUGGUUUUCAAGGCCCUGGACAUUAGGCAACGGGCAGUGCUCCCUGUGAGAGAGGAAACAAAUGAGGCGACCACUGCCCUGCCUCGGGUCCCUGCCUGAGUGAGCUCCCGGUAGGGCCGGGCACAGGGAGGAGGAGCUGAGAGAGAGCCCAGGGCAUUCCCUGGGUCGAAGACGGUGCUGAAACUUGAGGAAGACCAAGGCGAGUAGCGCUCUCAGGACAGAGUACCAAAGAGGAGAGAGCUACACAGAGAGAGAACGCCAGAGGUCUGCAAAGGGUCCUCCUUGAGUCUUCAGCUGAGUACCUACAGCUCAGGUAUGAGAGGAAACUCUUUGAGGUUGGGAAAGAGCCAUCCAAAAGAGUGAAAGGUGACAGUGCCCAGGGCUCACACAGGACCUGGACUAGUGUCUAUUUCCACCGGCCAGAGCAGAACCCUACUGAGUCCCAGGCACUGGGUGAUCAGAGAGGUGUGGCCUCAGCAGUAGUGAAUAAUUAGCCCUAGACUGAGCACUGCUCCAGACCCUCCUAACAAAUCGUAACAGCAAGACGCAAAGGAUCAAACUGCUUCCAACCAACCUAACUGCGUCCCAGAACAAGGCUCAAGAAUAUUUAUAGGGGGGCUGGCCCGGUGGCAGAGUGGUUAAGUCCUCGCGCUCCGCUGCAGGCGGCCCAGUGUUUCGUUGGUUCGAAUCCUGGGCGCGGACGUGGUACUGCUCAUCAAACCACGCUGAGGCAGCGUCCCACAUGCCACAACUAGAAGGACCCACAGCGAAGAAUAUACAACUAUGUACCAGGGGGCUUUGGGGAGAAAAAGGAAAAGAUAAAAAUCUUCAUUAAAAAAAAGGAAUAUUUAUAGGAAAACAAAAAUAUCCAGCACCCAAGAAGGCAAAAUUCACAAUGUCAGACAUUCAGUAAAAAAAUUACCAGUCAUGCAAUGAAGAAAGAAAAUGUGACCCAUAAUAAGGAGAUAAAUAAAUCAAAACUGAUGCAGAACUGACAGAGAUGCCAGAAUCAACAGACAAGGACGUUAAAACAAUUAUUAUAACUGUACUCCAGAUGUUCAAAAAGUGAAGUAGAGACUUUUAUUGGCCUUCUUUCCUUCCUUCCCUCCUGAAUAAUUCAGUCCAAAGCCAUCAGUGGGGCCAAGCAGGGUCAGUACCUGUGAAGGGGCCUGGAGCUGAGGCUGGGGCAUGGUGGUGUCAGAGCCCUGGCGGGGUUAGAAGGACAUUUGCAUGGUGGGGUAUCAGUAAUGGGAGAUUGGUUACACACCUGGGGUUGACUCAGAACAUAAACAUAUUGAGGAAAAUGGGAAUCAGCUUUCUCAUUAUCGGAAAAGGGAGUUACAAAAUGGGAAGGGAGAAAAUUGGAUGAAUUAGAGGCAGUGGUGAGAACUCAGGUUUUCAACAAAUAGAGAUGGGUAACAAAAUGAACGUAGAUGUGGAUGUGGACACAUACGUAUCUACAGAUAGACAUUCCCUGGCUCUGUCCACCGAGAGGGUCUGGGAGCAGCCUCACCCCAACAUCAUGGAGACACUUCUGAUUAGAGGUCAAAGGAAAGGUAUGUCCAUAGAGGAGAAACCUCAGAUCCAUCUUCAAAGAAUGUCUUUAGUCUUUACAAGUCAUAAGGACAAAUCAAGCACGUCAAUGAACACUGAAUUUCUACACUCAAAACUUUAUUUUAUAGACCUUAACUUAUUUACAACAUACAAAAAUGAUAGAAAAAUAAAAGUGUGGCUUUGGGUUAAUCCUGGGAUCCAAUUUCAACUCUAACAUUUACUAAUUUUGUGACCCUGGAGAAUCAUUUCAUCUCUCAGAUCCUCAAUUUUCUCAAAUGUAAAAUGAAUAUACCUACCUUUUAGUGUUCUGUGUUAUUAAUCAGAUCAUGCACAUCCCACAGCGCCUGGCAUAAAAUAAAUGCUCAGCAAAGCAUAGCCAUUAGCACAUUUGUGUGUGGUGUAAGUUGGGCAGGUUUUUACUAUUUUGGUUUAACAGGAAAAGAAAGACAUGGGGCAGCAAAGACACAUCAGAGCAGAAAAUAUCAAUUAAUUCAGACAACAAAUGACUUUUAAGUAGGAACUGGACAUGCCCAGAGGGAGGAAGGCAUUCCAGAGAGCUGGGAGGGGAGGAGUAAACUCCCAGGUAGGCAACAGCAGGGGGUGCAUAGGCAGCAUCACUGCCAGGGCUGCCCGGAGCACAGGAGCCAGAAGGAGGUGCGUGGGAAGUGAGGCUGUCAAGAUGAUUUGCUCCAGAUUGUGUAGAGUUUCAAUACAAAGCUAUACUAAGUUUUAUUCUGUAGCAUCAACUCUUGUGUUUAUGAUUUAUAGCCCAUUAGCCCGUACUGUGUCUACAUAUCUCUUAAUCAAGAUUCACCUCUGAUUUAGAGGAGUUACUCAUUAGACGGUGUCCUAGCCAGGAGGCCUCUGCCUGCCCUGGGUUUCUCAGGUGAGCGCUGCUUUUCACUGUUGCUUGAUGAGGAGUAUUUAAGAGUGAGGAGCUAUUGCUAACGUGAAUAAAAGUUUGCUCCCUCAGUUUCCCCAGAGGGUUUCCCCAGAGCGUUUCCCCAGUAGUCCUCAGCAGGGAAGAUCCCGGGGGGCAGCUCCUACAUGGAACUGACACACACGUCUAAAGCACGUGAGAGGAAUGCAGAUUCAGGAAACAACACAUAUCAGGAAAAAUAUGUGGUUUCAAAAAGGUUAAACCUGGAAUUAUUUAAUGAUAAAAAUAUUGAAGUCAGUAACCUCCCUCCCAUUCAAACAACUAAGCAAAUAAAGGACUAUUGUAAAGAGAAUGCAUAUGUCUUGACCAAAAUCUCAGAGAUCUGAGAUUUUGACAGAACUGUGUCCGUGAUGUCGCCUAUGCAGUAGGACUUGAAGGAUACUGCAGGUCCAAGGGCUCCACACUUAAAACUAGCUUCAAUGUUCCCCAUGAGAGACAGGGCUUGUUCCUUCUCCCAGAAGGGUAGGGUGGAGCUGGGCACUGUUUCUCCAUCAGUGUGUCCCGGCACUUGGUUUUCAGGGCUAUUUAUGAUAUCCUACCAUCUUGGGUCUCUAUACUCCACCACUUGGCAAAAUUCUGCACAGGAGGAAGAAGCAGAGGUUGUGGUAACUGUUGUGAGAAAGGAGAAUGGACAGAUUUAACUAGAAAAAAAGUCUGGGUGGAAGAUGUAGAGACUGGACUCAAUGACUGAGAAAAGCAAUGAAAUCACCUUUCCUAGAAACAGCUGAAAAAUACAAUAAACGCUCAUUUGUAAAAGUUAAUGAGUUUGUUAAAAUGAGUUAAUUAAUGCUACGGUAGGCACUAGGGAUAUGGGAAAUAAAACCAAGGGCCUGCCCUCCAGGAGCUCACGGUUCCACAGGAAGGCAGACACACACACAAAGAACUCCCAUGUCCCCACAUCGCAGGGAGGGCCUCUAGCAGAGGUUUAGGGGUGGGGCUGGGGAGGACGAAGCGUCCAACUUCCAGAAGAAGUGAAGGAGAGCCUGAGACCAUGGAGCAGCUGGACCCGGACUGGGAAGAUAAGCCAGGAUCCACCAGCAAUACAACCCUUCACGGUGGGUGACGCAGAGUCGGGGGCUGUGCAAGGAGUUGGGGUCAUCUCAGCCUUGGGGACAACGUUGACAAGUUUGGGUUUACAGAUGUGUGUACACACAUUGAGAAAAAGCUAGAAGGAUAUACACCUAUAACAUGGUACCCCAGUAAAUGUCCACUGGAUUGCUAUCUUCAUAACUAGUAGGCAUGACCCCUAACCAGUCUUCCUGGGCUCAAGCCCCAGCUAUGAGACUUACCAGCUGUGAGCCCUUGGGCAAGUUACUUAACCUCUCUGUGCCUCAAUUUUCUCAUCUGUGAAAAGAAGGUAGAGUAACACCUAUCUGACAGGAUUGUUGUGAAUUAAAGGAACCAAUAUCUAAAAAGUGCUUAGACUACUGCAUGGCACACAGAAAACACAAUAUAAGUGUUUGCGGUUAUCUAUCAACUGGGGAAGUUUUUGUGGGUUUUUUUCCUGAAAGAAGAAGAUUCUUUUGCUGUAAUUAUUGGGGCUUCACCUCCUGUUUGUUUGUGUUCUGGGUGCCUGAGUGCCCAAAGGAGCUUAGAGAAUGAAGGAAACGAGGGAGUGACAUGGUAUCUGUCCCUUCUUGCCAAGCUUGGAGACUCUGAACACAAGCAAUGCCUCUUCAGGACCCAGUGACCCAGUCACCCCGGAGGAUGGGGGCUCUGAAUUCCAACAUUUGGCACCAUUUGUCCUGCUGAACUGCACCCAUUCGCGAGCAAGGUCACAGAUGAGUUUGCUGCAACUCUCUCCACUCUACUGGCAGCAUGGCUUAUGCCAAGCAGUGCCUUGUCUGCACCGGGAACUGAACUGGAGAACCCUGGGCCACUGAGAAGCGGAACGUGCA
Molecule: long non-coding RNA, 5351 nt
Filed under: Equus asinus (donkey)
Lineage: Eukaryota; Metazoa; Chordata; Mammalia; Perissodactyla; Equidae
Description: lncRNA (ENSEASG00005030683.1)
Source: RNAcentral